AUUCCAUUUUGACUAUCACUUCUGAACAAGAGUUGCCUCCUUACAGAUUAUGUCAAUAUGGUCCUUCCAGAAUUAUCACUAUACUUCCAACUGUCCUUGAGCAACCAAUCUUUGGUAAACCUUAGAUUGUCCUCGACAAUUGUUUAAUCCUUUUAGUCAUAUCCAGUUCUAAACCUUUUCCCUUCUUAAUGCCCCAGGCAUUUGGAAAAUUUUAGAAAGGAUGAAUAUAGCACAUGUAAUCGAUCCUAUAUCCGAAGCAUAUGGGACACGAUUCAUGAUGUCUUACAUAAAGACUAAACCAGUCUUUUGCUAUAACAUUUCCAUUUCUAUUUGCCAAGUUCUCAUAAUUCAGAUUAUGAAAAGGGAUGCCGUAAUCAUAAUCGAAUUUUAGAACGCAAAUAAUGGACCCAUAUACAGAAUUUCCUUAUGUUGAGCCAUUCCAACAUGAAAUUCAUAUAUAUAUAUCCUUGACUAAAUGAUUAAAACCUCACGAUCUAAGCUUAUAGAUUUGAGAUGAAGUAUAAUUUCCUCUCCCUUAAUUAUAGCAAAACAACUUUUUCCCAAUUGAAACUUUUGUUUUCUAUAAUUAACAUUGCUAACUUGCAACCCUUAUCAUAAUUAUCAUGCUCCCACUAACAUGAUGAUUAUUAGCAUAACAUUUAUGCUCCCACUAGCUUUGACAUGUACUCAGAAAUUGACUUUCUUACCAAAGUUCCGAUUUCUGAUACUAGAUUGCUUUGAUAAAACUUUAUCAAUAUCAUACACCUUAUCUUAGAUAGCUCACAGGUGUAUCUAAACAAUUUUAAGAACUAUUUAAAGGGAUUCCGUAAUCAUAGUCUCGAUUGUUUAGACAUUUUCCACUUCACACAAGUCCAUGCUAGUGUGCCGGUUAACCACACACGCUCCACUAACGACUUUGAGAAUGCAAAUAUCUCAAUUGCUAUCUAGCUAAAAUCUACUUAGUGAAAGUGUUUCCUCACCAUCAUUUUCAUGAAUCGGAGCGAAACCUUAUGACACUUAGAUUUUUAUGGUGUAUGAGUUCCUACCCAUAUGAAUUUGUCAAAACCAUAAUCACAAGACAAGGAUAAUGACAAAUCCAAACUCAUAUGGAUUGAACUCAAUCUUAAUUUCUUGCCACCUGGCAGCUCAAGGGCCUGCCAUUGCUUCCAAGUUGUUGUGCAACCAAUUGAGAACUCUAAGAACUCAUAUGCAAAGCCAACUUUAACUGGAAUGGGCACAGAAUAUGUCAACAUGAUAGGUUAUAAACCUCAAGUCGUGUGCUAGUGAAGAACUUCAGGUUUUAUUCUUGAUUAGUUCUUGAGACUUUUAAGACCUUUAAGACUCCCACUGUCCUCUUGACCUAUAAGACUCCCUUGUCAAACAUCCAAGAGAUAAUGCGGAUUCUAAUCAAGACAAACACUUCACAUAAUUAGCCUUAACUGGUCUUUGUUUUCUCCAAAACAUCACAACUUACAAAUUUCAAAUGUACAAGAGUAGGAAACUUUAACUCUUACAUUUGAAAAGUGUUUUAAACCUUCUUUAAGACAUGUCACUCAAAUUACAAUCUUGGAGUAUGAAUCUAAGACUUGUAUUGGAACGAAGUAUGACGCAUCUUCUUGAUUUAACCAUUUCAACAAUUCAAGAUUCCUCUUCUUAGUCAUAAGAAUGCACUAAGAUUUCCUUAGAGAACUAAUUGUGCUAUGGUUUCUUAAUCAUUAAGAUGAUCACAAAACUGAUACUAAAGUACUCUCCCAUCUUUUCAGAUUUGAGAAACUUUUAUCCUUCUGCCUAAUUUGAUUCUUCUAAUUCACUCUGCCAUACAUUGGAACCUUUUCCAAUGUGUCAGAGUUACACUAAAGCUUGUAAGUAUAAUCAUAUUUACUAAGCUUUGGUAAAACCAUGACGAAUAGUCUUAUCGAUCUUUUGUGGUGGACUUGAGCAGUGCACAAGAAUGUGUACUCGAUCCCUUAGUUCUUCACUUGACUCACACAUCCAUGUGAACAAGUAGUUAGUCUUAAUUUUUUUUCAAUGCUUGAAAGUUCUCAUUCAUCAUGCUAUACAACUUGCAUGAUUCCAAGUUCCUAUCUAACUGAAACUUGGGUGAUCAGAAUCUUUCCUUAUUUGGUAAAUUUAGACACUACCACAAAUGAAAGAAUCAAAUUCACUUUCCAAUAUUGCUAUCCGUGGAAUCUUAUAAGCAACAACUUUUCACAAAUGCCAUUGUAAGGAUACUUAAAAUAAAUAAAAUCAAAACCUUUUUCUUUUAUUUUAAAACUUUGCAGAAAACUUAUCCUUACAAUCCAUAUGAAAACCUUGUUGUUAUCUAUUCCUAAGCAAUAUAAAUAUCAUAACUCUUAAGUAGUAGCCCAAAAUUCUGCUCACCGAACCAUGCGACUGAAAUCCAUCUUUGCGAUCAGAAUCAGCAUGCACUUAAUAAAGUUAGACAAUGGACUUUACCUAAAAAAGAGCCAAACUUAUGGACUUUAACAUCCUUAGGUAAAUUUGGCAGCUUUGCAACCAAUGCCCCUUUCCUUUGGCAAUAGUUACAUAUGGACCCUUGAUAAUGGGACUAUCUCAAACUUAACCUCUCUCUUUACCAUUUGGUCAACCGAGUUGACUAUGGUCGAUCCCUUUCCAUUGGAAAGAGAGAGAUUUUCUGGAUAUCCAAUGUCAUUAUUGUCAAUGUCCACAAGUUUUAGUAAGUUGAUCUUAGCAAAUAGAUAAGAUCAUUAAGGGUCUUGUCAUAGUCUGUUUCACAGGAGUCCCAAAGGAACUCACUAUGUGACUUAGAAAGUAGUUGAGACACCAACUUUCUCAACACUUUGACACCCAACUCUCCCGGCUUGUCAAUAUGUGACUACAUCUCCAAGAUGUGAUCACACAUAGACCUUUGCUUGCCAAUAAGGCUUGAGUGACCUUAAAAUUUUUAAGAACUUGUGGGUUAGGGAGAAUAAUUAGAGUAGGUGAAAGAAGUAUGAUUUCCAUGGGAUAUCAUCUUCAUUUAGGAAAGCUUGUUUCAAGAGAUUUAGGAAGAUCAUAAAUGUCUAAACCAGACAUCUUUUUGGGAGAUAUUCAAGAUAGUUGAUUUAAAGUCCUUAAUAUGACACCCAAUAUGAAAUAUUAAGGCCAUGACCCAACAAACUAUUUUAUAACUUAGAAGAGGGAUGCCGUAAUCCAAGCUAUAAAAUAUUCGAAGGUAGGUGAAUGACGAUUCACCAAUUUCCACCAAGAUAAACGAAAUGUAUUAUUAGGUUUUAAUUGGUUUUUGAAACUCCUAGAUCUUUGAGAUUCAUUGAACUUUUCAAUGGCAUGUUUCAAUCUCGAGUGUGCCCUUCAGGUUUUGUGACUGGGAUGCCGAGGAUCACAAAACAAGGUGUGAAGUAACCAUGCAAAUUACUUGGUACCCUUAAGUGUUUACCCCUCAAUCGAUGUGCCGGUUAACCACACACGCUCCAUCGAUACUAUGAUAAACAUUAAGUUACCCUUUGCCUACCUUGUUAAAUACGAGUUAGUGUGCCGGUUAACCACACACGCUCCACUAACCGACUUAAACAAAGUGCAAAGUGUAAUUUCAUGGAUUAGCACCUUAUUCACAUUUUCCUAAGUAACUAAGAUUGGGUAUUUAUAAAAGGUUUAGUUACUUAGUAUUUAUCAUUAAUACUUUUAAUGAAGGGAGAAUUAUAGUCCUUGUCCUACCCGUUCGGCUAACGACCCUCCACCGGUCAAGGAAGCGGUGGGUGAGAGUGGACACCCAUUAAACUGCCAUUUUAUAGGCAGUAACCUUAUACCCCCCUUAUAGACCGGCUUCGUGAAUGAGGCCUACUAACGGUAAGACUGACUUUACUCUUAUACAUAUAUAUAAAUAUUAUUAACUUAUAAUAUUAUAAAGUAUAAGGGUUGAAUUUUAACUUUUAAAAUUCUAAGGGCUAACUUGGAAUUAAAGUAUUCAUGGGGAAAACUUUACAAAUUCCAAAACUUGAGGGCAAGUUUUGAAACUAUUCAAAACUCUUGGAUUUUCAUAAGGGAGGUGAUAUUGCCACGUAAUUUUUUUAUGCUUCCACUGAAAAAAAAUAGAGAUUUACAAUUAUACCCCUGUUCACUUAAAAAAGAGCAACCUUAUCUUUGUUUCAAAUAAGGCACAUACGCCCAUCAUCCGAUGCCAAUUUUGGUGUUCUAUAGCUAUUAUAAAGAAGUAUAAACCAGAAUCAUUGUAGGCAUGUUCCAUGGAUAUGGUAUAUGGAUUUAAAGGGUAACAAAUUAGUAAUGGAAAACAAAAAAUGGAUAGCUACAUUGGCCAGCAUACCGGCAUUUCAUCCCGUCGAGGUUACAAUCAAUCUGCUCUCGACACCGUCUCCGUGUUCAAGAAAAUUGGUGCCAAUAUGGGUGUUUUAUCCGGUCUGCUCAUGGCAUUAUUAAUAACAAAAUUAGAGCACAUCGUUCAUCAUCUCGCCUCUUUUUGUUCAGGUCUUCUGGUGGUUUACUUGGCCAGAUCUACUCAAAUUUUUAUUGGUUACUUCCUUUUGUGGUUUUCCAUUACGAUUUCAUGACAUACCCAAAAAAUAAAUUGAAGAAGUUGAAGGAGAAAAACAUGAAUAGAAUCAAGAACAUUGAACAAUACCAUUUGGGUGAUUGAGGUAAGAGAUUAAUCUAGCAGGAGAGCAAUUUUAUCUCCAAAGACUUGAACCCAUUUUAGAUAUGAAUUUGUACUAUCUAUGCUUGCUUGACUUAUAGUUUGUCUCGGAUAAUGAGGUGAUUGCAAUUGAGGAUAGAGAGAGAAACCAAUAAUCAAAUUAGGUUUAAGAUCCACCUCCGUAUGUAGAUCUUGAUAAUUGUGAGAAACCAAAUUGUAAUUCAACACAUCAUUAACAUCUCUGGGAUUUUCAAUAUCAUUAAGGAAACUCUGAACACAGCUAGGAGCCGACUGAAACAUGGGCUCACAUCGUUGGAUAAAGCCCUCUCACUCCCUGCUAUGUUUCCCUCAUUCCUUGCUAUGUUUUUGUACACGCAAAAAAUAAAAAACAAACCCAGCUGUUGGGUUUAUAUCACACAAAGAGAAGAGAAGAAAAGAAGGUUUUUUUGGGCAAUUUAUGUGAUAUCAACACCUGUCGUUCUUCUGAUGGUGUUCACCGCUUCAAGUUUAACUCAAAGCUCAAAAUAAGAAACCCCACCACCAUCACCCACCAUGGCUCCAUUGAUUAAAGCUUCUAAUGAGCGUACUGCACUCGUUUGAAUUGAAUAUGUUGCAAGCCACGUGCACCAUCAGCUUCCGGCUACUAGAUGUACCGAUGCUAGCGGCUGAAAAAGAAUCGAUCGAACCAGCACCAAAUGAGGAGGAGUAAUUGUAUGUUUGUUGUGCGUGGUUUGGAGUUUUCACUUUUUAGAUGUGUAGGUUUUUUGAUAGAAAGAUUACUAAGCAGGGGCAUAAUUGUCAAUCUAUACAGAUUUUCAGUGGAGGAAUCAAUAAUUACCAUGGCAAUAUCAGCUCCCUUUUCAUAACUUAUGAGUUUAAUUAAAGUUUUAAAAACUUUAAUGAAGUGACUCUUGAACAUCCAUAACUUGAGGACAAGUUAUGGAGUCAUAAAACAAUUUAAUGAGGAAAAAGACUCUUCAUUUUGUAACCUAUGGCAACUUUUAUGAGUUUUAAGAUUCAUAAAUGUGACUUAUAAGUUACAAAAACACAUUCUAUGAACUUCUUUUAGAUUAAUUUGGAUUAGAACCAACUAUCACAUAAUUUUAUUCAUUAAUCUAAAUUCACUCAUAAAACAAGGUAACACAAAAAACUUUUGGUGAUCAAUCCUUUAAAACAUUAACACCAAAUUUUGUAACUCCAUAAAAACUUUGAAUCAAUUUUUUUAAAACCUUUUCAUAUCGAUAACUUAUGGUGGUUUCAAAAAAUAUAACCCUUUAGAUCAAACUUUUAAAACUAAUAAAACAAUCAUAUCAUUUUAUCCUUUAUUAAAUUUGACCUAAUUCAACUCAUAAAGCAAAUUAUUCAAAUUUUACAAAUAAUUAGUUUUUCACAAGAACAAGUAAUUAUCUUAAAAUUUGACAAACUUCAUGUUUUUUUUUCCUUUUUUAUCAACUUUGAAAAUAAAAUAUUUGCAUCAAUAUAACAGAAAACAACCCGUGGCUCUAAUACCACUGUUGGGUUUUGAGCAUUCUAACACUCCUAAGUGUACAUGCAACCCUAAAUACCUUGGAUCUAUGUUUUCUCUAUUAUACAUGCAAAUAUGAACUUCCAAGGUAUUAUCCUAAUCUAGCAUACAAAACAAUGAAUAUAACAAGAUAGAAUACAUACCUCUUUGAUGUAGAAAGUCUUCAUGAAGCUUGAGUGCCUAGUGCCCCAAGUGUGACACCUCAAAUGGUUCACACAACACCAAAUACACUUGGAAUAACUUGAGAGAAAUUUGAACACUCCUUGAAAUCGUCUAGCCCUCACACUCACACAUAGUGCACGAUUUCUUGAGCCAUGGGAUUCUUUUAUAUGGUGGCUAUUAGGGUUACACCAUGUAACUCAUGACUUUACCCAUUCCUUAUGCUCCAUGGAUUUCAACCUCCAUGGAGUAUCCAUGGGUCACCCAAUGGACUUAGUCCAACAUAAGGAAUCUUGGAUCACAAGCCCACAUAUAUAAGAAUGAAUGAUUUACACAAUCAACCCAUAUAUUUAAUUAGUCUCCUUUUGAUCACUUAACUAAUUCCAAAUUAAUUCUUGAUCAAUACAAAUUAAAUAACCUUAUUAAUAUAUUAGAACUUAUAAUAUAUUAACAAACCUUAAGUGUUAUUUCUCUCAUUUUAGUCUAUCCAAAAGAAUGAUGCCAUGCAACCCAAAUGGACCAUGCCGGGUCGAUUCAAGUCUUACCAAUUAUAGUUAUGGACUUAGAUAUUAAUCCAACAGACUUUUGGUGACAAUAGUGGAAAAGCCAUUACAGGUGUUAGAAAUUUUGAGUGCAGGACGAUUGAGCUGAAGGAUGUUUAUGUAGAAGGACUCAAAGGCAACUUCAUCUCCAUCAGUAACCUUAGUGAUGCUAGAUAGAAAGUUCUUUUCAACCGUCAUGAGGGAAAAGUGUUUGAUUCUGAAAACAAAAAUCGUGCUUUCUGCUCUUAGGGAGAAUGAUAUUUAAAUGGUGUGAUUUGUUGAUUUUGACGCUGAUACUUUAUUUUUGAUUUAUGCUUUGGUAUUUUUAAAACAUUGAACAUAUGUUGAUAUAAUUUUAAUUUAUAUUUUGGUUUGUUUGCAUCUAACUUUUAUUUAUUUAUUACCAAAGAAGUAUAUAUGUAACAACGUAAUUUUUCAAAACAAUUUUUCAUUUCUUUAAAACAUAAUUUCAUUCAAAACAAACCAUAAAAAUCAAAUGUAACAUAGUCAUAAUACAAAACAUGUCAAAUCCCAACAUCAACUAUAUCCAAAUCCGCUUGCGGGUGUGUGUACGAUUUAUGUCGGCACCUUCCCACGGUCCUCGCUAGUACCUGAAACAAAUAACACAACAACAGUAAGCAUAAAUGCUUAGCGAGUUCCCCAAUAUACCAAUUACACACAUACGCCCUUCCAAGCCAUAACCUUCCGGUCCAUGUGUCUCAGGGGACUUCCGUCCCAACCCGGUAAACCUUCCGGUCCCACCCAUGUCGACCUUCCGGUCCAUAACUCUAUGACCUUCCGGUCUACAUCAUAAUGCCUUCCGGCCCAUAACAUAAUGCCUUCCGGCCCAUAUCAAGCAUAGCAUACAUAACGCGUACAAGACAGGCAACUAAUAUCAUGCAAUGCAUAUAUCUUAAAGCAUACCAGACCAUCCGGUCACACAUAGGUACCCUUCGAGGUACAGUGAGUGAGAAGACUCACCUCGUAUGAUGUCUAGUGUCUCACGUGCUCGAUAUCUCUGAAUCUCGCAACAAUGACCUAGCCUCGCCUAAUCACAUUAAGUAAUUAUUCGAAAUCAAUAACGGCUCUCAAGGCUAUACUAUAUUCCUUUCUAAAAUUCCACAUAAGGGUAAAACACCAUUUUACCCCUCCCUGACCCAAAAAUCCACAUGUUGACUAAAACCCUAAAAGUCAACAAAAGUCAACAGCAAGCAGUACACGGGGCGUACUAGAUCCUGUACAAAGGGCGUACCCUUGCAUUCCAGAAACAGGGUACGCAACUCCCUACACGGCGUGUACUGGGAUUACGCCCAGCGUGAUGGUCAGUUUCUUUGUCCAACACAUUCAGGUCUUAAUCGGUUAAGACUUGCAUCCAAACUUCAGAUCUGACUCCUCUAAUAUGACUUAAUCCAUAAAGUUGAAACCUUUAAGCCUUUUCAUGGUUGUAAAGGUCAGUUUAUGCUCAAAACACCUUUCCUCUUUCCAUAACGAGACUAUAACUCAUCCAUGACACAAGAUCCACAUCCAAGACUAGAUUUUUAUGACUCCUCAACACAUAUUACACUAGAAAAGGUCAGAUCCAAGCUUAUGGAGACUCUUUGCUCAUAAAGUCUCCAACUUUGAACCAAAAACCCUAAAAAUGGUCCAACAAGCAGAACUUAUGAAGAACAAGGAAAGCUUUGAGCUUUCAACUUCUAGCUCCAUCGAUGGCUCCUUCUUCUCCUUCUUCACCUUGAAAGGAUAACUUCAAGCUCAAAAACACACACACAAGGUAAAGCACGAAUCUCAGCUCUCCAAGGACUCACUUAAGGGUGUAUGGUGGCUAGGGCAAAGGACUACAUGUUCCUUUUAUAGUGCAAGGCCAGGAAUUAGGGAUUUGCAUCUGGGCCGGUUACGCUCGGCGUAACCUUGGGUACGCCCAGCGUACCCGGAUAAACCUGCGUACAAAAUAAGUGCGCGAGUACGUGCGGCGUACACCCCAGUACGCCCAGCGUACUCACCAAAAUCCACCUUUCAACUUUAAGGGAGUAAUUUUCCAACUCUCCAAAAUAGAAGGGUCAUAAAGCUAACCUGGAUUUCGGGCUGUUACAGUUCUCCCCCACUAGAACCAGACUUCGCCCUCGAAGUCUCAUGCUGUGUGCAACUCCGGAUGCUGCUCUCGCAUCUCUGACUCUGGCUCCCAGGUCAGCUCGGACCCUCUCCGAUGUUGCCACUGGAGAUGAACCAGGGGCACUUCCUUGUUCCUCAGAACCUUGAUCCUCCGAUCCAAGAUUGCGAUCGGCUUCGCAGCAUAAUUCAGACUUGCAUCCACCUGGAUAUCCUCGAAUGGUACCACUGUCGACUCAUCGGCAAUACACUUCCUCAAAUGCGACACGUGGAAGGUAUCAUGAAUCUGGUCCAACUCCGCAGGUAGCUCCGAGCGAUACGCUACCUAGCCCACCCUCACGAUUAACCUAAACGGCCUAAUAUACCGGGGUUCCAGCUUGCCCCUCUUGUUAAAUUAGAUCACUCCUUUCCAAGGAGAUACCUUCAGAAGCACAUAAUCAUCGACCUGGAACUCGAGUUCGGAUCGUCGCCUAUCUGCAUAACUUUUUUGGCGACUCUGAGCGGUCAAAAACCUCUGUCUAACCUGUUGUAUCUACUCUGUUGUAUGAAGCACUAUCUCUGUACUACCUAACACAAGCUGCCCUACCUCUCCCCAGCAAAUGGGGGUACGACACCUCCUUCCAUACAACAGCUCAAAAUGUGGCAUACCAAUGAUCGAGUGUUGGCUGUUGUUAUAGGAAUACUCAGCCAAGGGCAAAUACGUGUCCCAAAUCCCACCGAAAUCCAAUACAUAUGUCCGAAGCAUGUCCUCGAGCGUCUGAAUCUUCCGCUCGCUCUACCCUUCGGCCUGUGGGUGGUAUGCGGUACUGAAAUACAGCCUCGUACCCAACUCCUCGUGAAACUUCUUCCAAAAUCUGGAAGUAAAACGCACAUCUCGGUCUAAAACAAUCGAGAUCGGAACUCCAAGCCGCGAUACCAACUCCUUCACGUACAACUCUCCCAACCACGAUCGCCCAAAUCGCGUCGACACCCUUGGCAGUCCUCGACAAUUUGGUGAUAAAAUCCAUGGAGGUCUAUUCCCACUUCCACUCGGGAAUCUCUAACGGCUGUAACUUACCAUGCAAGUGCUGGUGCUCGGCCUUAACCUUGCUACAGGUCAAGCACCUCUCUACAAACCAUGCAACAUCCCUUUUCAUACAGAGCCACCAAUAUUCCUUCUUCAGGUCCAAAUACAUCUUAGUGGCCCCCGGGGUGGAUCGAGAACUUUGAUCUAUGCGCCUCCUCCAUCAAGACGGUAGGCGUCCCGCCCACAAACGUUACCCAAACCCGACCCUGGAGGGUCAUAAGUCCUCAAGUAUUGGUAACAAACUCCGAUACCUGCCCAAUCACUCACUCUCUCUUGCGGUUUUCCGGUCUCACGGCCUCCACUUGGGCCCCUCGAAUGGUGUCCCAUACCGGAGUCAUCACUGUCAAUCUCAUGCAAAUAUCUCAAAUCGGGGCGCCCUCCGCCCUACAGCUCAGGGAAUCGGCUACCACAUAUGCCUUGCCCGGGUGGUACAGGAUCUCACAAUCAUAAUCCUUUACCACAUCCAACCAUCUCCUCUGGCGCAUAUUCAGGUUGGGCUGAUCCAUCAACUACUUCAAGCUCUUGUGGUCCGUGUAUAUCGUACACCGAACCCCAAAAAAAUAGUGACGCCAAAUCUUGAGGGCGAACACUACAGCCCCCAAUUCCAUAUCAUGAGUGGGAUACCUCGACUCAUGAAGCUUAUGCUGCCUCGAUGCAUAUGGUAUCACAUGCCCCCUCCGCAUAAGCACCGCUCCCAACCCGGAUAUCGAUGCAUCACAAUAUACCACGAAAUCCUCCAUCCCUUCAGGAAGGGCUAACACCGGGGCAUCGCAUAAUCUCUGGCGAAGUGUCUCGAACGAGGUCUGCUGCUCCGGACCCCAAUAAAAUGCAACACCCUUCUGGGUCAACUUGGUGAGUGGCACGGCGAUCUUGGAGAAAUCCUUGAUGAAUCUCCGAUAAUAGCCUGCCAAUCCUAAGAAAUUCCUGAUCUCAGUAGGUGAACUCAGCACCUCCCAACUCAUCACAACCUUAAUCUUGGCCGGAUCGACCAAUAUCCCCUGCUGGUUAACGAUAUGUCCUAGCAACUGGACCUCCCGUAACCAAAAAGCACACUUGGAGAAUUUGGCGUAAAGCCUCUCCGAUCUCAGGACUCCGAGGAUUUCCCUCAAAUGCUCCUCAUGCUACUCUUUGGAUUUCAUAUAUACCAAUAUAUCAUCGAUGAAAACAAUCACCGAUCGAUCCAACAUCGGUCAUCACACCCUGUUCAUGAGAUCCAUGAACACGGCUGGAGCAUUGGUGAGCCCAAAAGGCAUCGCCACGAAUUCGUAAUGCCGAUAACGAGUUCUGAACGCUAUCUUCUGGAUAUCUUCAUCCCGAACCCUCAUCUGAUGAUAACCCGACCUCAAAUAUAUCUUGGAGAACCAAGACGCUCCCUGCAACUGAUCGAACAAAUCGUCGAUCCUCAGUAAUGGAUAACGGUUCUUGACCGUCAGCUUGGUCAACUCCCGGUAAUCAAUACGCAUUUGGUGUGAACCAUCCUUCUUCUUGACAAAAAGGAUCGGCGCUCCCCAAGGUGAGCUACUCGGUCUAAUAAACCCCUUUCCCAACAACUCCUGAAGCUGCGAGGAUAACUCCUGCAUCUCGUAUGGCGCAAGGCGAUAGGGUGCCUUGGCAAUAUGUGCCGCCCCUGGCACCAAGUCGAUACAAAAAUCCACCUGCCUCUCGGGAGGCACACCCGACAACUCCUAGGGAAAAACGUCAGGGAACUCCCGCACAAUAGGGACCUCAUCGAUCGAACUUGGCCUCCCAGCGGCCACUCGCGUCUCCAUCAUAUAGGCCACAAACCCUCUACAGCCCUGCUGUAAACACUGUCUCUCCCUAGCAGCCAAACAAAAUGCUGACUCAGGACGGGUACCCUCACCGUACACCGUAAGUACUCCCCCACUAGGGUCUCGUAUCGUCACCAACUGACGCUCGCAAUCUAUAACAGCUCCAAACUGGCUCAACCAAUCCAUGCCCACUAUAACACACACGCCCCCCAUCGCAAUCGGGAGCAGAUCUAUCGGGAACUCCACACCGAAGAUCUUAAGGAUACAUCCUUGAAUCACAUCCGUGGCAUACACUGCUCAAUCGUUAGCUAUAGAAACUUGCAGAGGUCGACUCAUGGCCUCUCGACAAAUACUAAUAUGACGACUGAAGGCUAACGACAUAAAAGACCAACUCGCUCCCGAGUAAAAUAACACUAAGGCAGGUAUAGAAUUCACAAGAAAAGUACCUACGCAUAACAUAAUAUAAGAAUAAUAUCUCAGACUUAAAUAAAUAGAGAGAAGAAUACAUACCGCCCACAACGUCAGGUGCUGCGCGGACCUACUCCGCUGUCAACUAGAAAGCUCUCCCACGAGCCUUCGGAGCCUCGACCUUCACUGAUCGAACCUCGGUAACCAUAGCAGCAGGUGCAGAUCCCUGCGCUGACCCCUGAUGCAACUGUGGAAACUCGGCCUUCCGAUGGCCAGUCUGGUUGCAAUGAAAGCCAACCAUAAAUCCCUUAGGGCAAUCCUUAGCGAUAUGCCCCUCCUUGCCACAUUUGUAGCAAGCACCCGAUCGACAAGCUCCCUCAUGACCCUUGCCGCACAUCCCGCUAGUGCGGCCCUUCUGGCCUCCAGUCCUCGAAUCAGNUCGGCCUCCUCCCUGGCCUGAGUCUCCAACUCGAUCUCCCGCUUCCGGGCAUUUGCCUGAAGCUCAGCAAAUGUACGGUACGUCGAGUUUGACACGAACUCUCGAAUGUCCCUCCUCAAAAUGCCCAAAUACCGGCUCAUCCGUGCCUGCUUAGUAGACACUUGCUCAUGGCAGAACAGCGCCCUCUCAUGAAACUUCCGGGUAACCAUACUAACCGAAUCAUUACCCUGCUUGAGGGUCAAGAACUCCUGAACCAAACGUUCCCUCUCCAUCGGGGGAGCAUACUCAUCCGUGAACAUGCGUUGAACCUCUCCCAGGUCACCUCAGAAAUCUCUGCCAGAGUGAAUCUCGCCGUCACGAACUUCCACCAGUCUAUUGCUCCCAAGCGAAGCUGGUUCAAAGCGAACCGCACCCUCAAGUGUUCCGGACAAGAACACGUAUAAAAGCAUCCCUCAAUGUUACAGAUCCACCUCAUCGCCGCAAUCGGGUCCUGCGGGUUAUCGAACUCCGGCGGCUUCGUGUUGCUGAACUCCUGAAACAACAACGAGUCACCUCCCUGAGGUCUGGCAGCAGCAAUAGUUGCAGUAGCUGUAGCCUCAGUCACCGUUGCAUACCGCUCAUUUAAGGUCUCAAUCAGUGUGGUCUUGAUGUCCCCAAACAUCUCUGGAAUCUCAGCCAGGAUGGCAGCAGCCACCUCCUCAUGAAUCAAUCGACGGAUCUCCUCGUCACUGACCCUACUUCUCUCAGGUGUGUCUCGUGUCCCAACCAUGAUGCCUCUGAAAUAUAACAUAAAAAUAUUAGAGACUCGAUCGAGCAUACUCGCACUUGAUAACGCAACCCUACACAUCCUCCAAUACCCAAAGGAUUCUUACUUGGGUUGCUCACUGAUCCGGUGUCUUCAGUAGUACGGGUCCUAUACUGCUGAACUCACCAUAUCAGCAUUCACACCAUGUCCUCCUCCUUGGAUCCCGGAUCGCAAGUACUCUAUUCUCGCUAUGCAUUGGCUACCUACACGCUCUCAAGGCAUCUCAUAGCAGUAGGAUUCUCCUAGGCUAACGCAUCACAAAUCAGGCCACUCUAGUCCUAAUAUGAAUACCUAGCCUACUCUAGCAUGCAUAACAUAACAUAGCAUAUCUCAUAACACAUAAUGUAAGGGUAUUCUGGGGAUUCACCGUUCGGGCGCUGGCUGACCAUACACACUGCUCUGCUCUGUUUGUUUCAAAACUCCUUGCUCUUUUAGAAAAUUUAGUUUUUUUAUUGUUGAAAAUUUCUCAAAUCCUCAGUUUGAGUUCAGAUAUGCCCAAAGGUGCAUCCGAGUCCCUCAAACCAAGGCUCUGAUACCAACUUGUAACAACGUAAUUUUUCAAAAAAAAAUUUCAUUUCUUUAAAACAUAAUUUCAUUCAAAACAAACCAUAAAAAAUCCAAUGUAAAGUAGUCAUAAUACAAAACAUGUCAAAUCCCAAGAUCAACUAAAUCCAAAUCUGCCUGCACGUGUGUGUACGAGUCAUGCCGGCGCCUUCCCACGGUCCUCGCUAGUACCUGACACACAUAACACAACAACUAUAAGCAUAAAUCCUUAGCGAGUUCCCCAAUAUACCACUUACACACAUACGCCCUUCCAGACCAUGACCUUCCAGUCCAUGUGUCUCAAGGGACUUCCGUCCCAACCCGAUAAACAUUCCGGUCCUACCCGUGUCGACCUUCCGGUCCAUAACUCGCUGACAUUCCGGUCUACAUCAUAAUGCCUUCCGACCCAUAUCAAGCAUAGCAUACAUAACGCAUAUAAAAUAGGCAACUAGUAUCAUAUAAUGCAUAUAUCUAAUAGCAUACCAGACCUUCCGGUCACACAUAGCUACCCUUCCAGGUACAGUAUAGUGAGAAGGCUCACCUUAUAUGAUGUCUAGUGUAUCACAUGCUCGAUAUCUCUGAAUCUUGCAACAACGACCUAGCCUCGCCUAAUCACAUCAAUUAAUUAUUCCAAAUCAAUAACGACUCUCAAGGCUAUACUAUAUUCCUUUCUAAAAUUCCACAGAAAGGUAAAAGACAAUUUUACCCCUCCCUGACCCAAAAAUCCACAUGUUGACUAAAACCCUAAAAGUCAACAGCAAGCAGUACGUAGGGCGUACUAGAUCCUGUACGCGGGGCGUACCCUUGCAUUCCAAAAAUGGGGUACGCAACCCCCUACGCGGUGCGUACUAGGAUUACGCCCAGCGUAAUGCCCAGUUUCUUUAUCCAACACAUUCAGGUCUUAAUCGGUUAAGGCUUGCAUCCAAACUUCAGAUCUGACUUCUCUAAUAUGACCUAAUCCAUAAAGUUGAAACCUUUAAGCCUUUGCAUGGCUGUAAAGGUCACUUUGUGCUCAAAACACCUUUCCUCUUUCCAUAAUGAGACUAUAACUCGUGCGUGACACAAGAUCCACGUUCAAGACUAGAUUUUUAUGACUCCUCAACACAUAUUACACUAGAAAAGGUCAGAUCUAAGCUUAUGGAGACUCUUUGCAAAUAAAGUCUCCAACUUUGAACCAAAAACCCUAAAAAUGGUCCAACAAGCAAUACUAAUGAAGAACAAGGAAACCUUUGAGCUUUUUACCUCAUAAAGGAUCUCCAACCACUGUAGAACUCAGAUCUACACUUGUUCUUCAACUUCAAGCUCCAACAAUGGCUCCUUCUUCACCUUCUUCAGCUUGAAAUGAUAACUUCAAGCUCAAAAACACACACACAAGCUAAAGCACGAAUCUCAGUUCUCCAAGGAAUCACUCAAGGGUGUAUGGUGGCUAGGGGAAAGGACUACAUGUUCCUUUUAUAGUGCAAGGCCAGGAAUUAAGGUUUUGCAUCUGGGCCGGUUACGCCCGGCGUAGCCUUGGGUACGCCCAGCGUACCCGGACGAAGCCGCGUACAAAAUAAGUGUGUGAGUGUAGCACCUGGAUCCUAGUACGUAAAAUUUAUCUAUGUAUUUUACAUUUUUAGCCUUGGACUCGGCGAGGUGCAGGCCCGACUCGCCGAGUGGAGACGGGUUUGGGAGCACGUUUAAGUUGGCGACUCGGCGAGUCCACAUUCUGGACUCGGCGAGUCCCCGCUGUCUGAUGAAACCAUAAAUUCCAAGGGUUUGCACCCUAUUUAAACCAACCUUAUGCGCCCCAACCUCGACCCCUUCACCCUCAUAGCUCCCAACAUCGUUCAAACUCUUAUUCCUUGUGAGAUUGGAGUGCUUUGGUGUGUAUCUUGAAGAUUUUGAGAAGAAAGAUGAGUAGAUCAAGAAGAGAAGAAGGAGGCCAGGAAUCCUUGUGUUAUCUCAGUGAUUUCCUUGAGGUAUAACUCAGUUUCCCUCUGUUUCCAUUCUUAUAGUCCCUUAUAGCUCCGUUCGAGUCCUUCUUGAGCCAUUUCCAAGCUUGGGUAUGAUUUAAGAUCUGUAAUAUGUUGAUUAACCUUUAGAUCUAGGCAUGAUUGAGCUCCAGGAGCUCGGAUCUACUGCCUUAAUUGAGCCAUAUUGCAUGAGAGCCCUAGAUCUACUCUUUUAGUGCAUUUUGAGCCCUAAAACCUUCAUUGGGGUUUAUUUACACGUAAAGUUGGAAACUUUACGUGUUAACCAGGCCCUAGAAACCCAGAUCGAUGUAUGGCAUGAGCUGGAUUCAAGCAAAAUCAAAUAUUUAGUGUUUGCAUGCGAUAGACUCGGCGAGUCGAGUCGCGAGUCCCCGAGNAAGCUCUCCCACGAGCCUUCGGAGCCUCGACCUUCACUGAUCGAACCUCGGUAACCAUAGCAGCAGGUGCAGAUCCCUGCGCUGACCCCUGAUGCAACUGUGGAAACUCGGCCUUCCGAUGGCCAGUCUGGUUGCAAUGAAAGCCAACCAUAAAUCCCUUAGGGCAAUCCUUAGCGAUAUGCCCCUCCUUGCCACAUUUGUAGCAAGCACCCGAUCGACAAGCUCCCUCAUGACCCUUGCCGCACAUCCCGCUAGUGCGGCCCUUCUGGCCUCCAGUCCUCGAAUCAGUAGACUUGGCCCGCUUGGCUGCCGGCUGAGACUGAGCCAGCCGCCGAUCCAUCCUCUGAGACUCGGCCUCCUCCCUGGCCUGAGUCUCCAACUCGAUCUCCCGCUUCCGGGCAUUUGCCUGAAGCUCAGCAAAUGUACGGUACGUCGAGUUUGACACGAACUCUCGAAUGUCCCUCCUCAAAAUGCCCAAAUACCGGCUCAUCCGUGCCUGCUUAGUAGACACUUGCUCAUGGCAGAACAGCGCCCUCUCAUGAAACUUCCGGGUAACCAUACUAACCGAAUCAUUACCCUGCUUGAGGGUCAAGAACUCCUGAACCAAACGUUCCCUCUCCAUCGGGGGAGCAUACUCAUCCGUGAACAUGCGUUGAACCUCUCCCAGGUCACCUCAGAAAUCUCUGCCAGAGUGAAUCUCGCCGUCACGAACUUCCACCAGUCUAUUGCUCCCAAGCGAAGCUGGUUCAAAGCGAACCGCACCCUCAAGUGUUCCGGACAAGAACACGUAUAAAAGCAUCCCUCAAUGUUACAGAUCCACCUCAUCGCCGCAAUCGGGUCCUGCGGGUUAUCGAACUCCGGCGGCUUCGUGUUGCUGAACUCCUGAAACAACAACGAGUCACCUCCCUGAGGUCUGGCAGCAGCAAUAGUUGCAGUAGCUGUAGCCUCAGUCACCGUUGCAUACCGCUCAUUUAAGGUCUCAAUCAGUGUGGUCUUGAUGUCCCCAAACAUCUCUGGAAUCUCAGCCAGGAUGGCAGCAGCCACCUCCUCAUGAAUCAAUCGACGGAUCUCCUCGUCACUGACCCUACUUCUCUCAGGUGUGUCUCGUGUCCCAACCAUGAUGCCUCUGAAAUAUAACAUAAAAAUAUUAGAGACUCGAUCGAGCAUACUCGCACUUGAUAACGCAACCCUACACAUCCUCCAAUACCCAAAGGAUUCUUACUUGGGUUGCUCACUGAUCCGGUGUCUUCAGUAGUACGGGUCCUAUACUGCUGAACUCACCAUAUCAGCAUUCACACCAUGUCCUCCUCCUUGGAUCCCGGAUCGCAAGUACUCUAUUCUCGCUAUGCAUUGGCUACCUACACGCUCUCAAGGCAUCUCAUAGCAGUAGGAUUCUCCUAGGCUAACGCAUCACAAAUCAGGCCACUCUAGUCCUAAUAUGAAUACCUAGCCUACUCUAGCAUGCAUAACAUAACAUAGCAUAUCUCAUAACACAUAAUGUAAGGGUAUUCUGGGGAUUCACCGUUCGGGCGCUGGCUGACCAUACACACUGCUCUGCUCUGUUUGUUUCAAAACUCCUUGCUCUUUUAGAAAAUUUAGUUUUUUUAUUGUUGAAAAUUUCUCAAAUCCUCAGUUUGAGUUCAGAUAUGCCCAAAGGUGCAUCCGAGUCCCUCAAACCAAGGCUCUGAUACCAACUUGUAACAACGUAAUUUUUCAAAAAAAAAUUUCAUUUCUUUAAAACAUAAUUUCAUUCAAAACAAACCAUAAAAAAUCCAAUGUAAAGUAGUCAUAAUACAAAACAUGUCAAAUCCCAAGAUCAACUAAAUCCAAAUCUGCCUGCACGUGUGUGUACGAGUCAUGCCGGCGCCUUCCCACGGUCCUCGCUAGUACCUGACACACAUAACACAACAACUAUAAGCAUAAAUCCUUAGCGAGUUCCCCAAUAUACCACUUACACACAUACGCCCUUCCAGACCAUGACCUUCCAGUCCAUGUGUCUCAAGGGACUUCCGUCCCAACCCGAUAAACAUUCCGGUCCUACCCGUGUCGACCUUCCGGUCCAUAACUCGCUGACAUUCCGGUCUACAUCAUAAUGCCUUCCGACCCAUAUCAAGCAUAGCAUACAUAACGCAUAUAAAAUAGGCAACUAGUAUCAUAUAAUGCAUAUAUCUAAUAGCAUACCAGACCUUCCGGUCACACAUAGCUACCCUUCCAGGUACAGUAUAGUGAGAAGGCUCACCUUAUAUGAUGUCUAGUGUAUCACAUGCUCGAUAUCUCUGAAUCUUGCAACAACGACCUAGCCUCGCCUAAUCACAUCAAUUAAUUAUUCCAAAUCAAUAACGACUCUCAAGGCUAUACUAUAUUCCUUUCUAAAAUUCCACAGAAAGGUAAAAGACAAUUUUACCCCUCCCUGACCCAAAAAUCCACAUGUUGACUAAAACCCUAAAAGUCAACAGCAAGCAGUACGUAGGGCGUACUAGAUCCUGUACGCGGGGCGUACCCUUGCAUUCCAAAAAUGGGGUACGCAACCCCCUACGCGGUGCGUACUAGGAUUACGCCCAGCGUAAUGCCCAGUUUCUUUAUCCAACACAUUCAGGUCUUAAUCGGUUAAGGCUUGCAUCCAAACUUCAGAUCUGACUUCUCUAAUAUGACCUAAUCCAUAAAGUUGAAACCUUUAAGCCUUUGCAUGGCUGUAAAGGUCACUUUGUGCUCAAAACACCUUUCCUCUUUCCAUAAUGAGACUAUAACUCGUGCGUGACACAAGAUCCACGUUCAAGACUAGAUUUUUAUGACUCCUCAACACAUAUUACACUAGAAAAGGUCAGAUCUAAGCUUAUGGAGACUCUUUGCAAAUAAAGUCUCCAACUUUGAACCAAAAACCCUAAAAAUGGUCCAACAAGCAAUACUAAUGAAGAACAAGGAAACCUUUGAGCUUUUUACCUCAUAAAGGAUCUCCAACCACUGUAGAACUCAGAUCUACACUUGUUCUUCAACUUCAAGCUCCAACAAUGGCUCCUUCUUCACCUUCUUCAGCUUGAAAUGAUAACUUCAAGCUCAAAAACACACACACAAGCUAAAGCACGAAUCUCAGUUCUCCAAGGAAUCACUCAAGGGUGUAUGGUGGCUAGGGGAAAGGACUACAUGUUCCUUUUAUAGUGCAAGGCCAGGAAUUAAGGUUUUGCAUCUGGGCCGGUUACGCCCGGCGUAGCCUUGGGUACGCCCAGCGUACCCGGACGAAGCCGCGUACAAAAUAAGUGUGUGAGUGUAGCACCUGGAUCCUAGUACGUAAAAUUUAUCUAUGUAUUUUACAUUUUUAGCCUUGGACUCGGCGAGGUGCAGGCCCGACUCGCCGAGUGGAGACGGGUUUGGGAGCACGUUUAAGUUGGCGACUCGGCGAGUCCACAUUCUGGACUCGGCGAGUCCCCGCUGUCUGAUGAAACCAUAAAUUCCAAGGGUUUGCACCCUAUUUAAACCAACCUUAUGCGCCCCAACCUCGACCCCUUCACCCUCAUAGCUCCCAACAUCGUUCAAACUCUUAUUCCUUGUGAGAUUGGAGUGCUUUGGUGUGUAUCUUGAAGAUUUUGAGAAGAAAGAUGAGUAGAUCAAGAAGAGAAGAAGGAGGCCAGGAAUCCUUGUGUUAUCUCAGUGAUUUCCUUGAGGUAUAACUCAGUUUCCCUCUGUUUCCAUUCUUAUAGUCCCUUAUAGCUCCGUUCGAGUCCUUCUUGAGCCAUUUCCAAGCUUGGGUAUGAUUUAAGAUCUGUAAUAUGUUGAUUAACCUUUAGAUCUAGGCAUGAUUGAGCUCCAGGAGCUCGGAUCUACUGCCUUAAUUGAGCCAUAUUGCAUGAGAGCCCUAGAUCUACUCUUUUAGUGCAUUUUGAGCCCUAAAACCUUCAUUGGGGUUUAUUUACACGUAAAGUUGGAAACUUUACGUGUUAACCAGGCCCUAGAAACCCAGAUCGAUGUAUGGCAUGAGCUGGAUUCAAGCAAAAUCAAAUAUUUAGUGUUUGCAUGCGAUAGACUCGGCGAGUCGAGUCGCGAGUCCCCGAGUUUUCCCUUUUUGUGUUUUCGGAGUGGAGUAGUGAGUCAUGGGGUGUGACUCAGUGAGUCGGAAGCCAGACUCACCCAUGAAGGAACACGGCGAGUCAAUGCCCUGACUCGGCGAGUCCAAGGCAAUCUUCUUGCCUCAAGAAUAGACUCGGCGAGUUGUUCAUACAACUCGGCGAGUCUCAGCAUAGCAUGUUCUUCGGAUGAAGAUGAACUCGGCGAGUUGUUCAUACAACUCGGCGAGUAGGAUGAAAGACUAUUGGACCUUGGAUUAAAAGGAAAACUCGUCGAGUCAACGCCUAACUCGACGAGUAGAGGCGGGGUUAUGGUCAAACAAAGGGAUAGGGACUCGGCGAGUUGGCAGGCCAACUCGGCGAGUCGGGUCAACUGGAUGUUGACUUUGACUUUGACUCUUGGCUCGUUCAGGGGUAAAUGGUCAUUUUACCCUGAGGUCGAUUAACAGUAUUUGAUUGGGUGUUUUGUGGGGAUUUUAGCCGGAGGACUUCCGGGGCAGCAGCAGUAAAAGACAGUCAAUUCCCAUGCAGAUCAGCAGCUACUUUGAGGUGAGUUACCUUCCAGUAGCGGUGGGUCUACGACCACAAUCUCGGCCCACCAGUAGGAGUUGUACGCUAGGUGAUUGUCUUUGUGAUAUCAUCUUGCUUUGCUACUACCUGAUAUGUUUCUAUGCUGGCAUGAUAUGUAUAUGUGAUAGUAGUAGAGUUAGGCUGUUAGGAACGAAGGGUAGGUCAGACACCCAGAUAUGUCUGACAGUAUGUGAUGAUAUGCUUAUAUGCUGGCAUGAUAUGCUAUAUAUGAUAGUGGUAGUAGGAGGGGAUUAGUCCCCAAGCCCGGUCGUUAGGACCGCAGGGUAGAUCGGAUGCCCCAGAUAUCUCUGAUAAUAUGCUAUGUUAUGAUAUAUGUGAUAGUAGCAGUAGGGGGUGAAAUAGUCCCCGAGGAUCGGUUUUUAGGACCGAUGGGUAGUCAGGACCCCAGAAUGGCUUGACAUGGGUAGUCAACACCCCAGAUCGGCUUGACACGGGAAGGUCGGCACACCAGAAUGGCCGUAACGGGUAGGUCGGGCACCCCAGAAUUGCCCGGAAGUGUGUAUAAUAUGUGAUUGUAUGGUAUGUGGUAAGAUGGGGGAACUCACUAAGCUUCGUGCUUACAGUUUUCAGUUUUGGUCUCUGGUACGUCUUCUUCGAAGGGGAAGGAGCCGGCACGGUAGCGGUACAUCACACACACGCUUUGUAUUCCGCACUAUGGGAUCUUCUUGGGGAUUUGUACUCUGACAGUAUUAUGUUCUAUAAAAUGGUUUCCAGACAAGCAACAUCUUAUAUUGAAUGAUAUGAUCUGUGAAUGCUUUAUUUCUAAUGUUUUGCAAAGUGUAUGUUUUAAAAAUGAAAUUUUUGGCUUGUAUUUUUGGGAUGUUACAAGUUGGUAUCAGAGCCCUGGUUUGAGGGAUUCGGACACGUCUUCGGGGGUGUCUGAACUCAAAUCAAAGGACUUAAAGGAUUUUAAAUAAGAAAAUAUUUUCUGAAAAGCUAAGUAAAGAGUUUUAAGAAGGAACAAAGUGUGUGAUGUGCGCGACUAGCCGAGCUCAAGUAAGCAUUCCCCAAAGUACCCAUACCAGCUUAUGUUAUGUUUAUCAGUUUCAGUAGAACAACAUGCUAGAAUAGGACUAAGGAUCUAGGAGUGAUGACUUAUGUGCCUCCUUUAUGUGCUUCAGUGUACGAAAAUUGCAUGCUAGAAUUGAGUAGACGGCAGUAGGAUAGCAUGUUAGGGUUAUGCCUGAUAGUAUAAGCUUAGCAUUGUAUGCUAGUGCAACUUUCUCUAUGAGGACGGAUUUGCCUGAGAUUGUUUCCUUGUGUCUGAAUGCUGCUUGCUUUGUGCUUCGUGGGACUCUGAGUGAUGGGAUUAGACAUUAGAUGAAUACGUCACGUCACAUGUGAUCAGGGUUGAAUAAUCUUAGAGUGCUGGAUUUGGUCUUACUGCGCGACUUUUGCCUGAGUCUAACCGUGUAGAGCCGAGUCUGUUACUCGAAGGAUUAUCUGAGCCUCACCACAUGUGAUGGUAUUCAGGUAAUGACUAAUUGGCAUUACAAGGAGGCCUUCAGCAGCUGAGUACCGGGUAGGGUGGAGUUAGAUAUUUUCCUGGGGCAAGCCUAGGGUGACUCGUUGGGAGCCUUGGCUGUCGAGGCUAUGACUUGGUCGGACUUCACGACCAGGUUCACGGUAGAGUUUGCACCGACUAUCGAGCUUCAGCUGCUAGCCAUGGAGUUCUUAAAUAUGAGACAGACGAUGGAGACUAUGGCGGAGAUCACCGCCAUGUUCCGGGAGAGGGCGUUGAUGGUGCCCCAGUAUGCGGGUGAUGAGGAUAUGAGGAGGACCCGCUAUCAUGACAUGCUACGAGCUGAUAUUCGGGAGCAUGUCAAUUUUUCAGCUUGCCCUACCCUGGACUCUACGAUUUCUAGGGAAAAGGGAGAGGGAGAUAGAUCUGGAGCACUUCCGGAAGAGGAAGACAGAAGAGGGUCGGGAAGGAGACGCUUCGGGGAAGAAGCCCAAGGGACCAGAUGGUAGGAUUAAAGGCCAGUUAGGACCGAGCCGCUGCAAGAAAUGCGGCAGGCCACAUGAUGGGGCAUGUAGGCUGGGAUCGUUGGGCUGCUAUAAGUGCGGAAAGACAGGGAACUUCUUUUGGGUUUUGAGCAUUCUAACACUCCUAAGUGUACAUGCAACCCUAAAUACCUAGGAUCUAUGUUUUCUCUAUUAUACAUGUAAAAAUGAACUUCCAAGGUAUUACCCUAAUCUAGCAUACAAAACAAUGAAUAUAACAAGAUAUAAUACAUACCUCUUUGAUGUAGAAAGUCUUCAUGAAGCUUGAGUGCCUAGUGCCCCAAGUGUGACACCUCAAAUGGUUCACACAACACCAAAUACACUUGGAAUAACUUGAGAGAAACUUGAACACUCCUUGAAAUCGUCUAGCCCUCACACUCACACAUAGUGCACGAUUUCUUGAGCCAUGGGAUUCUUUUAUAUGGUGGCUAUUAGGGUUACACCAUGUAACUCAUGACUUUACCCAUUCCUUAUGCUCCAUGGAUUUUAACCUCCAUGGAGCAUCCAUGGGUCACCCCAUGGACUUAGUCCAACAUAAGGAAUCUUGGAUCACAAGCCCACAUAUAUAAGAAUGAAUGAUUUACACAAUUAACCCAUAUAUUUAAUUAGUCUUCUUUUGAUCACUUAAUUAAUUCCAAAUUAAUUCUUGAUCAAUACUAAUUAAAUAAUCUUAUUAAUAUAUUAGAACUUAUAAUAUAUUAACAAACCUUAAGUGUUAUUUCUCUCAUUUUAGUCUAUCCAAAUGCAUGAUGCCAUGCAACCCAAAUGGACCAUGCCGGGUCGGGUCAAGUCUUACCAAUUAUAGUUAUGGACUUAGACAUUAAUCCAACAGUCUCCCACUUGGAUAAGUCUAAAACUAUUAUUGCGUAUGACUUCAGGAACCAACUGGCAAUCGUAGCUCUCAAAAGCUUCUGUCGAACUCUGACCUUGUAGAUGAACUCUGACCUUUGUCAAUGACUUGUCCAUUAGAUAAGGGAUCAUAUAUUCCUCCAUUCUAGAUAUCAUAUGGACUGAGACAUGGAUUAUAAUCAUUCUCUCUGUCCAUUUGUUGUUUCCCGAUUUCCGAUUUAUGACGACUGACUAAUUGAACAAAUCAAAUCAGUCCUGGCCCGGCCGAGCACUUCCAUUUGUCAUCAUCAAAUCAUCGAGGGGCCCACAGAUAUCGCUUUUAUCCCGAAGGUAAAAGGAAUGGAUAAACUUCGACUCAUAUGGCUUGUUCUACUACUUGUUGAAUCAUACACAAAGGCACGUUUUAUAACACUGAGUUAUCGAAUGUGUUUUCGUGCAAUCAAUGUACAACCAACUCAUAGUAACACCUCAUAUCUCUAGGUUAGAAGAAUAUAAGAUAUUAUCGUCUCAUGAUCACUCGUGAUAAAAUCCAUGAAGUGAUUCCAAUGAGCGCGGGUUGAAUCCAAUACUCAGAACUUAUGAGCACUCAUGAGUGUUGUAGCCCUUUGUCCAACACCUUAGACCUCUACAAGCCAACCCAUGACAGUCUUAAUUCAUAUCUACUUCCAACAUAUGACCGACUGUGGAUGGUUUGAAUAACUUAGUCAUUCCGGAAGAAUAACCUAGUUUAUUCGGGAAGUCAAAACAUGCAAAGUGAAACACAAUAAUAAUUGAAUCCAAUAUGGUAUCAAAACCUAUGAACAUAAAUAAAACACCUUUUAUUUAUCACCAUAUGAUUACACAUUAUUCAUUGUAUACUGUUUCAGCUAUCAACUUUAUUCUUGAAUUUAAAACAAUAGUUGUCCCAUGCUCCAAGCAUGUACACUAUGUUUUCUAAAUACUAGUCAUGCCAUACACCAAGUAUGUAUACUAUCUUUGUCUAUGAUCUUUACUUUGUGAAAUAGAUCAAUUGAACAUAACUCCAAUGAUCGUCUUUUCACAGUCCCAAAUCCUUACUGCAAAUUCAAAAAUUCCAAAUUCAUGCGAUUUUCUGAAAUCUGUUAGAUUCUAAACUUAUAUGUAUUGAUCAUAUUGUAAUGAUUAUGCACAAAGUCAUAAGGACUUAACAACAAACAUUACAAAGUAUUCCAAAGGAGAUCAACUCCUUGGAAACAUCCUUCUUGCGUUAAGUUUCCUUAAUCUUACAUAGAUUGAAAAUUCUAACUUUGAAACUUUUCCAAAUUCAUUUUGACUAUCACUUCUGAACAAGAGUUGCCUCCUUACAGAUUACGUCAAUAGGGUCCUUCUAGAAUUAUCACUAUACAUCCAACUGUGCUUGAGCACCCAAUCUUUGGUAAGCCUUAGAUUGUCCUUGACAAUUGAUUAAUCCUUUUAGUCAAAUCCAAUUUUAGACCUUUUCCCUUCUUAAUGCCCCAUGCAUUUGGAAAAUUUUAGAAAGGAUGAAUAUAGCACAUGUAAUCGAUCCUAUAUCCGAAGCAUAUGGGACACGAUUCAUGAUGUCUCACAUCAAGACUAAACCAGUCUUUUGCUAUAACAUUUCCAUUUCUAUUUGCCAAGUUCUCAUAAUUCAGAUUAUGAAAAGGGAUGUCGUAAUCAUAAUCGAAUUUUAGAACGCAAAUAAUGGACCCAUAUACAGAAUUUCCUUAUGUUGAGCCAUUCCAACAUGAAAUUCAUAUAUAUAUCCUUGACUAAAUGAUUAAAACCUCACGAUCUAAGCUUAUAGAUUUGAGAUGAAGCAUAAUUUCCUCUCCCUUAAUUAUAGCAAAACAACUUUUUCCCAAUUGAAACUUUUGUUUUCUAUAAUUAACAUUGCUAACUUGUAAUACUUAUCAUAAUUAUCAUGCUCCCACUAACAUGAUGAUUAUUAGCAUGACACUUUUUCUCCAACUAGCUUUGACAUGUACUUAGAAAUCAGCUGACUUUCUUAUGAAAGUUCAGAUUUCUGAUACUAGAUUGUUUUGAUAAAACUUUAACAAAAUCAUACACAUUCCCUUAGAUAGCUCAUAGGUGUGUCUAAAAUAUUAUGAAGAGGGAUGCCGUAAUCAUAAUGGUUAGACCUUUUUGCCACUUCUCACAAGUCCAGGUUAGUGUGCCGGUUAACCACACACGCUCCACUAACGACUUUGAGAAUGCAAAUAUCACAAUUGCUAUCUAGAUAAAAUCUACUUAGUGAAAGUGUUUCCUCACCAUCAUUUUCAUGAAUCGGAGAGAAACCUUAUGACACUUAGAUUUAUAUGGUGUAUGAGUUCCUACCCAUAUGAAUUUGUCAAACCAUAAUCACAAGACAAAGAUAAUGACAAAUCCAAAACCAUAUGGAUUGAACUCAAUCUUAACUUCUUGCCACCUGGCAGCUCAAGGGCCUGCCAUUGCUUCCAAGUUGUUAUGCAACAAACUGAGAACUCUAAGAACUCAUAUGCAAAGCCAACUUUAACUGGAAUGGGCACAGAUAUGUCAACACGAUAGGUUAUAAACCUCAAGUCGUGUGCUAGUGAAGAACUUCAGGUUUUAUUCUUGAUUAUUUCUUGAGACUUUCAAGACCUUUAAGACUCCCACUGUCCUCUUGACAUAUAAGACUCCCUUGUCAAACAUCCAAGAGAUAGUGCGGAUUCUAAUCAAGAAAAACACUUUACCCAAUUGGCCUAAGUUGGUCUUUGUUUUAUCCAAAACAUCACAACUUACCAAUUUCAAAUGUACAAGAGUAGAAAACUUUUACUCUUACAUUUGACAAGUGUUUUAAACCUUCUUUAAGACAUGUCACUCAAAUGACAAUCUUGGAGUAUGACUCUAAGACUUGUAUUGGAACGAAGUAUGACUCAUCUUCUUGAUUUAACCAUUUCAACAAUUCAAGUUCCUCUUCUUAGUCAUAAGAAUGCACUAAGAUUUCCUUAGAGAACUAAUUUUGAUAUGGUUUCUUAAUCAUUAAGAUGAUCACAAAACUGAUACUAAAGUACUCUCCCAUCUUUUCAGAUUUGAGAAACUUUUAUCCUUCUGCCUAAUUUGAUUCUUCUUAUUCGCCCUGCCAUACAUUGGAACCUUUUCCAAUGUCUCAGAGUUACACUUAAGCUUGUAAGUAUAAUCAUAUUUACUGAGCUUUAGUAAACUAUGACGAAUAGUCUUAUCAAUCUUUUGUGGUGGACUUAAUCAGUGCACAAGAAUGUGUACUCGAUCCCUUAGUCCUUUACUUGACUCACACAUCCAUGUGGCCGAGUAAUUAGUCUUAAUUUUCCAAAACUUGAAAGUUCUCAUUCAUCAUGCUAUACAACUUGCAUGAUUCCAAGUUCCGGUCCAAUUGAAACUUGGGUGAUGAGAAUCUUUCCUUAUUUGGUAAAUCUAGACAUUACCACAAAUGAAAGAAUCAAUUUCAUAUUUCCACUCUUGCUCUUAAUGGAAUCAUAUAAGCAACAAUUUUUCCUCAAAAGCCAUUGUAAGGAUAUUUUAAAAUAAAUAAAAUCAAAAAAUUUUUCUUUUAUUUUAAAACUUUGCGGAAAAACUUAUCCUUACAAUCCAUAUGAAAACUUGUUGUUAUCUAUUCCUAAGCAAUAUCUCAUAACUCCUAAGAAGUUGCUCAAGAAUCCGAUCUUCAAACUAUGCGAUAGAAAUCCAUCUACGCCAUCAGAUUCAGCAUAUUCUUUCUUUAAGUUUCUUCACUUUUCUUUGAUUCUUAAAACAUCACCAUGUGACCCAGUCACAUCAUGUAUCAGGAAUCUCAGAAUAGAAACUUAACAGAGUUAGAUAGUGGACUUUACCUGAAGUAGAGUCAAACUUAUUGACUUUAACAUCCUUAGGUAAAUUUGGCAGCUUCGCAACCAAUGCCCCUUCCUUUGGCAAUAUAAACAUAUGGACCCUUUGAUAAUGGUACACGGGACUAUCACAGACUUAGCUUUUCUCUUUACCAUUUGGUCAACCGAGUUGACUAUGGCCGAUCCCUUUCCAUUGGGAAGAGAAUGCUUUACUGGAUAUCCAAUGUCAUCAUUGUCAAUGUCCAUAAAGUUUUAGGAAGUUGAUCUUAGCAAAUAGAUAAGAUCAUUAAGGGUCUUGUCAUAGUCUGUUUCAUAGGUGUCCCAAAGGAACUCACUAUGUGACUUAGAAAGUGAUUGAACCACCAACUUUCUCAAGACUUUGACACCCAACUCUCCCGGCUUGUCAAUAUGUGACUACAUCUCCAAGAUGUGAUCACACCUAGACCUUGCCUUGCCAAUAGGGCUUGAGUGACCUUAAACUUUUCAAGAACUUGUGGGUUAGGGAGAAUAAUUGGAGGAGGUGAAAGAAGUAUGAUUUCCAAAGGACAUCAUCUUCAUUUAGGAAACCUUGUUUCACUAGAUUUGGGAAGAUCAUAGGUGUCUAUUACAGACAUCUUUUGGGAGAUAUUCAAGAUAGUUGAUUUAAAGUCCUUAAUAUGACACCCAAUAUGAAAUAUUAAGGCUAGGACCCAACAAACUAUUUUAUAACUUAGAAGAGGUAUGCCGUAAUCCAAGCUAUAAAAUAUUUGAAGGUAGGUGAAUGACGAUUCACCAAUUUCCACCAAGAUAAACGAAAUGUAUUAUUAGGUUUUAAUUGGUUUUGAAACUCCUAGAUCUUUGAGAUUCAUUGAACUGUUCAAAGGCAUGUUUCAAUCUCGAGUGUGCCCUUCAGGUUUUGUGACUGGGAUGCCGAGGAUCACAAAACAAGGUGUGAAGUAACCAUGCAAAUCACUUGGUACCCUUAAUAAAUUACCCCUCAAUCGAUGUGCCGGUUAACCACACACGCUCCAUCGAUACUAUGAUAAAUAUUAAGUCACCCUUUACCUACCUUGUUAAGUCCAAGUUAGUGUGCCGGUUAACCACACACGCUCCACUAACGACUUAGACAAAGUGUAAAGUGUAAUUUCAUGGAUUAGCACCUUAUUCACAUUUUUCCUAAGUAACUAAGAUUGGGUAUUAUUAAGAGUUUAGUUACUUAGUAUUAUCAUUAAUACUUUUAAUGAAGGGAGAAUUCUAGUCCUGUCAAACCCGUUCGGCUAACGACCCUCCACCAGUCAAGCAAGCGGUGGGUGAGAGUGGACACCCAUUAAGUUGCCAUUUUAUAGGCAACAACCUUAUACCCACCUUAUAGACCGGCUUCGUGAAUGAGGCGUACUAGCGGUAAGACUGACUUUACUCUUAUACAUAUAUAUAUUAUUAACUUAUAAUAUUAUAAAGUAUAAGGGUUGAAUUUUAACUUUUAAAAUUCUAAGGGCUAACUUGGAAUUAAAGUAUUCAUAAGUGAAAACUUUACAAAUUCCAAAACUUGAGGGCAAGUUUUGAAACUAUUCAAAACUAAUUAAUUCCAUAACUUAUGUGUUUAAAGUAGUUUUAAUCCAAAAACUCUUCAAGUUCCAUAACUUGAGGACAAGUUAUGGAAGACUUUAAACUAAUAAAAGAAUUAACUUUUCUUUAUUUUAUAACUUAUGGAAUUAAUUAAGGUUACACUUUUUUUUUUUUUAUUUUAUUUUAUUAAAUGAAGAGACUCUUGGUCCUCCAUAACUUGAGGACAAGUUAUGGAGUCAUAAAACCAUUUAAUUAGAACUAGACUCUUCAUUUUUGUAACCUUUGCCAAUUUUUAUGAGUUUUAUGAUUCUUAAAUGUGACUUUUCAUAUAACUUGAGGACAAGUUACAAAAACACAUUUUAGAAUCAAUUCUUAGAUUAAUUUGGAUUAAAACCAACUAUCACAUAAUUUUAUUCAUUAAUCUAAAUUCACUCAUAAAACAAGGUAACACAAAAAACUUUUGGUGAUCCAUAACUUAUUCUUAAGUUAUGGAAUCCUUUAAAACAUUAACACCAAAUUUUGUAACUCCAAAAAAACUUUGAAUCAAUUUUUUUUUUAAAACCUUUUCAUAUCCAUAACUUAUGGAGGUUUCAAAAAAUAAAACUCUUUAGAUCAAACUUUUAAAACUAAUAAAAUAAUCAUAUUAUUUUAUCUUUUAUUAAAUUUGACCUAAUUCAACUCAUAAAGCAAAUUAUUCAAAUUUUACAAAUAAUUAGUUUUUCACAAGAACAAGUAAUUAUCUUAAAAUUUGACAAACUUCAUGUUUUUUUUUUUUUUUUUUUUCAACUUUGAAAAUAAAAUAUUUGCAUCAAUAUAACAGAAAACAACCCGUGGCUCUGAUACCACUGUUGGGUUUUGAGCAUUCUAACACUUCCUAAGUGUACAUGCAACCCUAAAUACCUUGGAUCUAUGUUUUCUCUAUUAUACAUGCAAAUAAGAACUUCCAAGGUAUUAUCCUAAUCUAGCAUACAAAACAAUAACUAUAGCAAGAUAGAAUACAUACCUCUUUGGUGUAGAAAGUCUUCAUGAAGCUUGAGUGCCUAGUGCCCCAAGUGUGACACCUCAAAUGGAAUCACAAUCAUCAAAACACUUAGAAUGACUUGAGAGAAUUCUACACUCAUCAAAAUCGGCUAGCCCUUUCUUCACUAUCUCUAGUGGCCGAUUUUUCCUCAAUAAUAAGAUGCUUAUAUAGUUACACAAUUAGGGUAAACUCUUAAUUGUCAUGGCUUUCCAUUUCCUUGGAUCCAUGGGUACAAAUACACCAUGGAGCAUCCAUGGACCAUCCUAUGGGUUUUAGCCCAACUUGAUUAUCCAUGGAGCAUUAGCCCACUAUACAAGUAUGGAUGAUUUACACAAUCAACCCAUAUAUUUAAUUAGUCUUCUUUUGAUCACUUAAUUAAUCCUAGAUUAAUUCUUGAUCAAUACUAAUUAAAUAAUCUUAUUAUUCUUAUUAUUAAUAUACUAGAACUUAUAAUAUAUUAAUAACCAUAAGUGUCUUAUUUCUCUCAUUAUAGUCUAUCCAAGUGCAUGAUGGUAUGCAACCCAAAUGGACCAUGCCGGGUCGGGUCAAGUCUUACCAAUUAUAGUUAUGGACUUAGACAUUAAUCCAACAGUCUCCCACUUGGAUAAGUCUAAAACUAUUAUUGCGUAUGACUUCAGGAACCAACUGGCAAUCGUAGCUCUCAAAAGCUUCUGUCGAACUCUGACCUUGUAGAUGAACUCUGACCUUUGUCAAUGACUUGUCCAUUAGAUAAGGGAUCAUAUAUUCCUCCAUUCUAGAUAUCAUAUGGACUGAGACAUGGAUUAUAAUCAUUCUCUCUGUCCAUUUGUUGUUUCCCGAUUUCCGAUUUAUGACGACUGACUAAUUGAACAAAUCAAAUCAGUCCUGGCCCGGCCGAGCACUUCCAUUUGUCAUCAUCAAAUCAUCGAGGGGCCCACAGAUAUCGCUUUUAUCCCGAAGGUAAAAGGAACGGAUAAACUUCGACUCAUAUGGCUUGUUCUACUACUUGUUGAAUCAUACACAAAGGCACGUUUUAUAGCACCGAGUUACCAAAUGCGUUUUCGUGCAAUCAAUGUACUAUCAACUCAUAGUAACAACUCAUAUCUCUAGGUUUGAAGAAUAUAAGAUAUUAUCGUCUCAUGAUCACUCGUGAUAAAAUCCAUGAAGUGAUUCCAAUGAGCGCGGGUUGAAUCCAAUACUCAGAACUUAUGAGCACUCAUGAGUGUUGUAGCCCUUUGUCCAACACCUUAGACCUCUACAAGCCAACCCAUGACAGUCUUAAUUCAUAUCUACUUCCAACAUAUGACCGACUGUGGAUGGUUUGAAUAACUUAGUCAUUCCGGAAGAAUAACCUAGUUUAUUCGGGAAGUCAAAACAUGCAAAGUGAAACACAAUAAUAAUUGAAUCCAAUAUGGUAUCAACCCUUUGAACAUAAAUAAAACACCUUUUAUUUAUCACCAUAUGAUUACACAUUAUUCAUUGUAUACUGUUUCAGCUAUCAACUUUAUUCUUGAAUUUAAAACAAUAGUUGUCCCAUGCUCCAAGCAUGUACACUAUGUUUUCUUAAACACUAGUCAUGCCACACACCAAGUAUGCAUACUAUGUUUGUCUAUGAUCUUUACUUUGUGAACUAGAUCAAUUGAACAUAACUUCAAUGAUUCUCUUUUCACACUCCCAAAUCCUUACUGCAAAUGCAAGAAUUCCAAAUUCAUGCCAUUUACUGAAAUCUGUUAGAUUCUAAACUUAUAUGCAUUGAUCCUCUUGUAAUGAUUAUGCACAAAGUCAGAAAGACUUGACAACAAUCAUUACAGAGUAUUCCAAAGGAGAUCAGCUCCUUGGAAACAUCCUUCUUGCAUUAAGUUUCCUAAUCUUAAACAGAUUGAAAAUUCUAACUUUGAAACAUUUCCAGAUUCCAUUUUGACUAUCACUUCUGAACAAGAGUUGCCUCCUUACAGAUUAUGUCAAUAUGGUCCUUCCAGAAUUAUCACUAUACUUCCAACUGUCCUUGAGCAACCAAUCUUUGGUAAACCUUAGAUUGUCCUCGACAAUUGUUUAAUCCUUUUAGUCAUAUCCAGUUCUAAACCUUUUCCCUUCUUAAUGCCCCAGGCAUUUGGAAAAUUUUAGAACGGAUGAAUAUAGCACAUGUAAUCGAUCCUAUAUCCGAAGCAUAUGGGACACGAUUCAUGAUGUCUUACAUAAAGACUAAACCAGUCUUUUGCUAUAAUAUUUCCAUUUCAAUUUGCCAAGUUCUCAUAAUUCAGAUUAUGAAAAGGGAUGCCGUAAUCAUAAUCGAAUUUUAGAACGCAAAUAAUGGACCCAUAUACAGAAUUUCCUUAUGUUGAGCCAUUCCAACAUGAAAUUCAUAUAUAUCCUUGACUAAAUGAUUAAAACCUCACGAUCUAAGCUUAUAGAUUUGAGAUGAAGUAUAAUUUCCUCUCCCUUAAUUAUAGCAAAACAACUUUUUCCCAAUUGAAACUUUUGUUUUCUAUAAUUAACAUUGCUAACUUGCAAUACUUAUCAUAAUUAUCAUGCUCCCACUAACAUGAUGAUUAUUAGCAUAACACUUAUGCUCCCACUAGCUUUGACAUGUACUCAGAAAUCAGCUGGACUUCUAGAAAUCAAUACUUCAUUGACUUUCUUACCAAAGUUCAGAUUUCUGAUGCUAGAUUGUUUUGAUAAAACUUUAUCAAAAUCAUACACCUUCCCUUAGAUAGCACACUUGUGUAUCUAAACAAUUAUGAAGAGGGAUGCCGUAAUCAUAAUGUUUAGACCUUUUUGCCACUUCUCACAAGUCCAAGUUAGUGUGCCGGUUAACCACACGCGCUCCACUAACGACUUUGAGAAUGCAAAUAUCACAAUUGCUAUCUAGCUAAAAUCUACUUAGUGAAAGUGUUUCCUCACCAUCAUUUUCAUGAAUCGGAGAGAAACCUUAUGACACUUAGAUUUAAUGGUGUAUGUGUUCUUAUCCAUGUGAAUUGUCAAAACCAUAGUCACAAGACAAGGAUAAUGACAAAUCCAAACUCAUAUGGACUGAACUCAAUCUUAAUUUCUUGCCACCUGGCAGCUCAAGGGCCUACCAUUGCUUCCAAGUUGUUGUGCAACAAAUUGAGAACUCUAAGAACUCAUAUGCAAAGCCAACUUUAACUGGAAUGGGCACAGAAUAUGUCAACACGAUAGGUUAUGAACCUCAAGUCGUGUGCUAGUGAAGAACUUCAGGUUUUAUUCUUGAUUAGUUCUUGAGACUUUCAAGACCUUUAAGACUCCCACUGUCCUCUUGACAUAUAAGACUCCCUUGU
RNAcentral lists this long non-coding RNA (33485 nucleotides) under Lactuca sativa (garden lettuce). Its description in RNAcentral is "long non-coding RNA (LSAT_LNC008602)". Lineage: Eukaryota; Viridiplantae; Streptophyta; Magnoliopsida; Asterales; Asteraceae. The record is from RNAcentral.